AGCGAACGCUGGCGGCAGGCCUAACACAUGCAAGUCGAACGAACUCUUCGGAGUUAGUGGCGGACGGGUGAGUAACACGUGGGAACGUGCCUUUUGGUUAGGAAUAACUCAGGGAAACUUGUGCUAAUACCGAAUGUGCCCUUCGGGGGAAAGAUUUAUCGCCAUUAGAGCGGCCCGCGUCUGAUUAGCUAGUUGGUGAGGUAACGGCUCACCAAGGCGACGAUCAGUAGCUGGUCUGAGAGGAUGACCAGCCACACUGGGACUGAGACACGGCCCAGACUCCUACGGGAGGCAGCAGUGGGGAAUCUUGCGCAAUGGGCGAAAGCCUGACGCAGCCAUGCCGCGUGAAUGAUGAAGGUCUUAGGAUUGUAAAAUUCUUUCACCGGGGACGAUAAUGACGGUACCCGGAGAAGAAGCCCCGGCUAACUUCGUG
This 433-nucleotide ribosomal RNA is filed under the name uncultured bacterium. RNAcentral's name for it is "partial 16S ribosomal RNA". It matches the Rfam family "Bacterial small subunit ribosomal RNA", at positions 29 to 507 of the family's 1533-position model. The record is from RNAcentral.